This 253-nucleotide ribosomal RNA is filed under the name uncultured bacterium. Its description in RNAcentral is "partial 16S ribosomal RNA". It matches the Rfam family "Bacterial small subunit ribosomal RNA", at positions 524 to 776 of the family's 1533-position model. The record is from RNAcentral.
UACGUAGGGGGCAAGCGUUGUCCGGAUUUACUGGGCGUAAAGAGCGCGUAGGCGGAGAUCUAAGCGUGGCCUGAAAGCCCCCGGCUCAACCGGGGAGUGCGGCUGCGAACUGGGUUUCUUGAGGACGAUAGAGGAGAGUGGAAUUCCUGGUGUAGCGGUGAAAUGCGCAGAUAUCAGGAGGAACACCAAUGGCGAAGGCAGCUCGCUGGGACGUGACUGACGCUGAGACGCGAAAGCGUGGGGAGCAAACAGG